Molecule: transfer RNA, 72 nt
Filed under: Camelus bactrianus (Bactrian camel)
Lineage: Eukaryota; Metazoa; Chordata; Mammalia; Artiodactyla; Camelidae
Also listed under: 2 other names
Rfam family: tRNA
About the family: Transfer RNA (tRNA) molecules are approximately 80 nucleotides in length. Their secondary structure includes four short double-helical elements and three loops (D, anti-codon, and T loops).
Source: Rfam by way of RNAcentral
GAGGGUAGAGCUCAGUGGUGGAGUGUGUGCUUACCAUGCACGAGGUCCUGGGUUCCAUUCUCAGGACCUCCA